AUGGAUUGGAACCCGCAAGUUUUGUGCUGGAACGUGAGGGGGCUGAACAACUCGGCAAAGAGAAAUGCGGUUCGAGACUUUGUAGUGGGGGCGAAAGUUAAUAUCGUGUGUCUUCAAGAGACCAAAUUAGAUGUAAUCGAUUUGUUCACCGCUUUGCAAUGCAUUGGACCAUCGUUUGAUGGUUUUUCUUACUUGCUGGCUUCGGAUACUUGA
Molecule: ribosomal RNA, 213 nt
Filed under: Triticum aestivum (bread wheat)
Lineage: Eukaryota; Viridiplantae; Streptophyta; Magnoliopsida; Poales; Poaceae
Description: partial small subunit ribosomal RNA
Source: RNAcentral